UUUGGAAAAGUCGAUGGGGAUACUGUAACAAUGUGAGCAGUGCUUCAAGAUAGAAAAUAAUGACAACACGUUCAUAGAAACAGGUGACAACCCAGUCAUUGAAAACAUAAUCUAGCUGAAUGGGUCCCCAAGGGAGGAAAGAAAACAUACUUUGAGAUAAUUUCUCCUCUGAACGACUCUCACAGCUGCAGUGAAAACCUCGAUGGGUCAAAAAAGUGCAUGCAUGUCGAGUGGACAGAGGGAGGCUCAGGGGAGGAUACAUGUACAAGGCACAUGUUGAUUUUCAGGAAAUCCACAGGAGACCAUGAAGAGAUGGGUAGAUGACUUUUUUUUUACCCUGGCCUGGGUUCGUCCAUCCAGUUGCACCCGCCCACCCUACCCACUUUUCCUGCAGUGAGCUCUGGGAGCUGAGACCCCAUGGUGGCCAGAAAGAUGGGAUGCAUCCCAGAAUGCUAUUAAGCAGAGAGAUGGGCCUGCAGUUCUCUACUUGACAACAUGCAACAAUGAGGAGGGUGAGUGUCUAGCAAGGGGUUGCAGCCAGCCUGGACACCCCUUGGGCACUCAUGCUGGAGACAAGGCAGUCUGUCCUUCUUGCUCUGCUUACUCGCAGGUCUGUCAGCACAUUUAACAAUACUGGAGGAGAAGGCACUAUCAACACUUGUAGGAUGCCAACGGUUUAUAUUAGCUGUACCUUGAGAGCAGCUUUUGCAUCUAGCCCUAUAACUGCUGUCAACAAAGCCUACACAUAUAACCCGUCUAUAUCCAGAUACCAGAAGCCUCAUGCUGGGACCUGCAAUCAUAAGAGCCACAGUUCAAGGCUCUGAGACCGUAGACAGACGCACAAUGGAGCAGUGUAAGUACAGUGCACCGAGGGGCUUUUCUGGCCAUGUGUUCAAUGUCAGGUUUAUAGAAUGGCUUGGUUCUUCCCAGUAAGCAUGGUUGUGAACGUAUCUAUUGAGUUUCUCCAGUGAUUUGGCUAUUUUGUUAGACUGGUUUAACAUGCUUUAGUCUUUCAUUACACCUGUCAUGCAUUCCUUUAUUGCAAUGGUUUAUAACGGCAACAUGUUGCUGCUUUUGAGCAACCGAAAGAGCCUUCUAAACAGCACAGAAGUAAAAAAGUAUUAUUUUAACAAGUCCCUGCACCCAAAACUUUCGUAAUGUGUUUAUCUUGAGAAAACAAACCAUCAUUAUUAGGAAACGUACAUACUACUUUAAUAUUUACACAAAUGUCUCAAAGGAGAAAAAGCAGUUUAUCAUAGAAUGACUUGAGAUUUAGAUAUUUGAACGUUGUUUUUUUUAUCCACCAAAAACCACUAAUUCACGGUGUUAAAUAACACUAAUAUGUGAGAACAAUUUGUGAACAAACGUUUAAUUUUGGCGUUAUAUAGUUGGUAGCAACAAAGUCGACUACGAAAUCCACAAUGCAACGCUCUAUGGGCUAGCUAGCAAACGUAGCUACACACAAUAAUACCAAAGACAAUAUCAGCAUGUAACGUAGCUAGUUAACUGUAAAAUCGCCUAAAAACUACACUAUCAAUUUAAGAGUCUACGAUCUCACCAUGUUCAACCUGCAGAUCGAUGUGCCUCACAGAAUGGAGUAUAACAUUCGCAACGGCAGAUAUACUUUUGAGAUGGGAAACGCGGACCAAGCUACACAAAGGGGCCGCGCGGUGCAUUCUGGGCAAUUCUUUGACAAGACACGCUCUCCUUGAAGGAGUGAAUCGGAGUCUAUUGGGCACUAGCUAAACAAAAAUACAUUAGCACGAAUUUCUAUAAGAUAUUUGGCAACAGCACCAUGCAAUGCACCCUGGACUAGAGGCAAAUAGGAACAAUAUGCUAGACCAUUCGUUAAAUUACAAAUUUCUCGAGGUAGAAAUAUCGCUAAAAAUAUGAGCCAUCACUCAUUCGAAAGAAGACAUCCUCCCGAGUUAUGACGUCGGCAAGUAUUACAGUCUGACAUGAAUGAUAGACAUUUUCGCGAUCUAAAAGUUGGAUUCCUAUUAAUUUCCAGUGUAGUGAGAGGGACUUUAUCACAGUGCUACGUAAUACCGGCCACAUGUCUGCCUGCUUGAACGCCAAUAACUCGGAUACACAUGAAAAGACCCAGGGAAUCGAUAGAACGUCACUCAGAUGCACAAAAAAAUAUAUAACAUUCAAAAUGGGCGAACCUUUCCUUUAAAUCACACAUUUGGGGCCAGGAAAUGAACAUGAGCUGGUUUCCCAGACCCACAUUGAGCCUACUUGAAAAUAAAUACAAAGUAACGUUAGAUUUAACAGGAAUGUCCGCGUUACCAGACCCAGAUUAUUUUCCUUUGAGCCGCAAUCAUUCCGCACACAUUUUGGAAUGGUCAGAGAUGAUUAGCCUUUGAGCCUCAAUCAUACAUUUUGUUUAGUGCAUUAAUCUUAUUACAGGGCCUUCUGCCCACUCAACACAGCUGACUAGCAAUUUGUAGGCAAAAAGCUUUAUUACACAUGUUCCAGUUUUCAAUAUAAAUACAUUAAAAAACAUAGGGUUAAAACAUUUACAUUGACUUUCAAAAAAUAAUUACAUCAUAAAAAAAGUACAAUUAUAACUUCCAUUCAGUAAUGUCACAUACGUAAAGGGCACUGUAAAUUAAGUGGCUUUGUUCAACCAGGGAAUGGUCUGAGACAAUUACUGGGCACUUCUUUUCAAGGACAGAUGCAGACUAGCAGAUAGGAGCAGUCCUAGCCCUGAAAAUAAAAUUAGAUAUUUUAGAUAAAGCAUUGACUCAAUGGAGCAGUUAACAAUAGUUUCACUAUUUAGAUUACUCAUGUUCAAAGACAACCACAAACUGUAUAGUCAUACGAGUAAGACUUUGGUUAAAAGAUGGGACAUUUUCUUAAUGGGUUUAAGAGAAUCAUGUAUGAAUUGUAGAUACCUUGGGUAGGCAUUCAACUUAGUCAUUUUGAAAUUGUAAUAACUCCUCUUUUCUUCUAGAGUCUUCUCCUGUCUGGUAGGAGCUAUGCAACAUUUUAAAAUAAUGAAAUUGUGUCAGGAUUAUCAUGUUUACAUAUAAAUAAUGGUGCAGUAAGGAAAUACAGUAGAUUGGCAUACAUAAUCUCAGUAUUUUAGUGCUUAGUUUGGUAGCGGUGUUCCAGUGUGGUAGUCAGCUGGUCAGUUUAGCACGGUGUAUGGUAGGUCUAGCUUGCUAGCCACCUCCCUUUUGAACAACAUACUCCAUUCUCUUUUUCAAUUCCAAUAUCUCUGAAAGUAAUAUCUGUGAUUCAGUUGUAGGUGAAAUUGUGCACUAUUUUCUAGUAAGAUAAAUUAUCAAAUGUAGGUUCUCACCCUUUCCUCUUCUGAAAACAAUAUAAUACGAACAGCACAAUAAGUAUAACUGCAAAAGAUAAAGAAUCAAUCAUGAGUCCCCUGUAUGCUCUUCAAAUGGUCAAGAGAAAGUGUAAUACAAAUCUGAUAAACAUGGUAACAUUAGCAAGUCAGCAGUUUCACUAGGCCUACUAGUGUAACAGAUCAAAUAAUGUGAAGGAAACUCUUGAUGGGUCACAGAAGGGAAUGUUUUCCCCAGUACAGUAUACAGCAAAGAAUCCAGUUUAGUUAGAACACAUGCUUACUACAUCAGGCACGUGAGUGCGUCCGCAUGUUGAUUUUGUCCAUCCACACUAGACGCGAUCAGGACGCCAGGUUGAAAUAUCAAAACAAAAUCUGAACUAACUAUAUUAAUUUUGGGACAGGUCGAAACACAUGAAACAUUCAUGGACACUUAGCUAGCUAACUUGCUGUUGCUAGCUAAUUUGUCCUGGGAUAUAAACAUUGGGUUGUUAUUUUACCUGAAAUGUACAAGAUUCUUUUUUUUGCUGGAUCUUUGUAGAAUUGAGUCACAUUGUGUGUUCUCUACUCCAACAAUUAAUCCACAGAAAAAAGGGGAAACCUUGUUAGUUUCUAGUGUUAGAUUCUGGGUGAAACUUGGAACAUUGUAAUAUGCAGAAACAUUAUAUAAAGGACUGAAAGGGACUGGUUUUACAUCAGAAGUUAAUGGUUAUCUGUAGGAGACAGAUGGCUUUGGAAUGUGUUGGGUGGACGGGAGGAAGUAACGUGAUUGCUAUAGGGAAAGCGGAUGGACAUCUGUGGAUUACGCGAAGGAGGGGGUCAGGUCAGAUCCCCUGAAGUGAGAAAUUAUGGUUUAUUACCCUCUUCCUGUCGAACCAUAAGAUGUAAGGAUCGGCGAGAAGGAGGAGUGCCUAAUGUGGAGUAUAUAUACAAUUUGGUGGUAGAAACAUGUUUGUCUGAAUCCAGCUGUAUCGACCCUUUGGGAAGAAUUAAACUUGGUUAAGCUUC
Oncorhynchus kisutch (coho salmon) is the source of this 4318-nucleotide long non-coding RNA. RefSeq lists it as uncharacterized. The transcript is spliced from 6 exons. Lineage: Eukaryota; Metazoa; Chordata; Actinopteri; Salmoniformes; Salmonidae. The record is from RefSeq and is a predicted model, not a curated record.